UACGUAGGGUGCAAGCGUUAUCCGGAAUUAUUGGGCGUAAAGAGCUCGUAGGCGGUUUGUCGCGUCUGCUGUGAAAACUGGAGGCUCAACCUCCAGCCUGCAGUGGGUACGGGCAAACUAGAGUGCGGUAGGGGAGAUUGGAAUUCCUGGUGUAGCGGUGGAAUGCGCAGAUAUCAGGAGGAACACCGAUGGCGAAGGCAGGUCUCUGGGCCGCAACUGACGCUGAGGAGCGAAAGCAUGGGGAGCGAACAGG
Molecule: ribosomal RNA, 253 nt
Filed under: uncultured bacterium
Lineage: Bacteria
Description: partial 16S ribosomal RNA
Rfam family: Bacterial small subunit ribosomal RNA
Source: RNAcentral